This is a long non-coding RNA of Sinocyclocheilus grahami, 640 nucleotides long. RefSeq lists it as uncharacterized. NCBI's taxonomy places the organism in Eukaryota, Metazoa, Chordata, Actinopteri, Cypriniformes, Cyprinidae. The record is from RefSeq and is a predicted model, not a curated record. The transcript is spliced from 2 exons.
CUCAUAUUCUGCUGUUUAGGAGACCGCUACCAAAACAGUGACGGUCAGAGACACUUGUCUCCUCUGGAACAUGCCUGUGGUUGUCAGUGAAUACUAGAGAACUUAACCACGUUUCUGGACUCCUGUGACCAUGAUGCUGCGUUUCACUGCGAUUAUGCCCGAACAGAAUCAAGGGAUUGUAGGAAAUGCAUUUUCAGUGAAAAUGUAAGGGCUCUUAACUAAAUCAUGCGACUCAAGUGCAUCUCUGAGUGAAGCUGAACCUUUAAUAAAAGUCUGUGCUGCAUCGUCAGUGUUUAGAAACCUAAAUUAGUGUUUAAGUGGCUGAGCUAAAUUCAUUUUGGGGAUAAAAGAUGUACUGUAUGCUAAAGGGAGAUCAUUUGUGUGUAUCUAGUUAACGUAUUGGCCAUUCUCAGGUUGAAAUUCUUCGUUUGCAUUCAUUCUUCAGGGAAGGCGAUUGUAAUACUGUACAGAUGCUUUAUAAAGUUUAAAAUGUGCUUCUAUCAAGUAUAAAACUUUGUUAAUAAGGUAGUUGUAGAAGAAGAGCCAUGAUGACGGCACUAUCAGCAACUGUGCUACUUAAGAACAGGGUUUAUAUGGAGAGAGGAAAAAGGUUUUGACCCUUUAUCAUAAAUUACUUUUG